GAUCAGAGGCCUCACUGGAAGGGAACAACAACAGAAGCAAGCAGGCUGAGUGGAGCUGAAAUGUAAAAUAGCGUGGGGGCUUCAAGGGGUGCUUCAACACCUGAAAGGCCAGAAGCUCUUGCCGAAGGUCAUCCCCACACUUGACAAUGACUGACAGGAGCCGCCAAUUGGGGAGAUGGCCGUAGGGGGAGCCCUCUCUGA
Molecule: long non-coding RNA, 201 nt
Filed under: Homo sapiens (human)
Lineage: Eukaryota; Metazoa; Chordata; Mammalia; Primates; Hominidae
Description: HSALNT0015090
Source: RNAcentral